Molecule: ribosomal RNA, 497 nt
Filed under: uncultured bacterium
Lineage: Bacteria
Description: partial 16S ribosomal RNA
Rfam family: Bacterial small subunit ribosomal RNA
Source: RNAcentral
GAUGAACGCUGGCGGCGUGCCUAAUACAUGCAAGUCGAGCGAACAGACGAGGAGCUUGCUCCUCUGACGGUAGCGGCGGACGGGUGAGUAACACGUGGAGAACCUACUUAUAAGACUGGGAUAACUUCGGGAAACCGGAGCCAAUACCGGAUAAUAUAUUGAACCGCAUGGUUCAAUAGUGAAAGACGGUUUUGCUGUCUCUUAUUGAUGGAUCCGCGCCGCAUUAGCUAGUUGGUAAGGUAACGGAUUACCAAGGCAACGAUGCGUAGCCGACCUGAGAGGGUGAUCGGCCACACUGGAAGUGAGACACGGUCCAGACUCCUACGGGAGGCAGCAGUAGGGAAUCUUCCGCAAUGGGCGAGAGCCUGACGGAGCAACGCCGCGUGAGUGAUGAAGGUCUUCGGCUCGUAAAGCUCUGUUAUUCGGGAAGAACAAAUGUGUAAGUAACUAUGCACGUCUUGACGGUACCUAAUCAGAAAGCCACGGCUAACUACGUG